UCUGUUUCACCUGGACUCGUAAUUAUUGAUGAUACAAGCGUGCGCGCUUCAUAGCCGAUCUAUAUGCGGAUAAAAACGCUUUCUCUACCUCCGUGUUCAUCUCUACACUACUUUUGGAGGAAGUGAUACACGUAUUUGAGAUAUUCCGCAGUAUUUCUCGUCUUUAGGACCCAGCAGAGACAUCUAACCGGAGUCGCGUCCAGUCUUGUUGAAGGUAUGUUAUGUUGUCUAAAAACACUGUCAUUUCGCUAGGAAACUAUAUUGUAACAAUUAAAUACUAAUAUAGACACAUAUAUGUGCUACAUUUUGUUCAGGAAAUUGCUAGUUUUCCCAAGAAGUACGGAAUCUGAGCAUUAUAUUAUUAUUGGUUAUUAUUCGCCGCUAGAGGGCGCUGAAUGGAUCGCAACGUGAGAAAGUUAUCCUGGACGAGCAGAGCAGAAGCUUGCUACAUCGUCUUUUAUCAGAAGAGGAUUCAUGAUCCAUUUCAAGGUUGCUCUGGACCGAGCGAGCUUUAAUCCUCGAUAAUCUUGUUGAGAAAGGUACCCCGGGAGAUGACCACUUCCAGCCUUCCAGUUAUCUUUUCUCCAUUGCUAAACUGGAUUGCUCAGGACAGGUAUUUUAUACCCACACCAAAGAAACUUUUUGAAGUUUGGGGAGAUGCAUCACUGCGGACCCUCUCGUAUUGCAAAAAAAGAAGAGCCUUGGAUCUACCAGUUCAAGCAAACAUUUAAUCUGACAGCCUUGGAGAUCCCACUUUGGAGAUGUCGCUUUAACAACUCAGCCAGCUAUCAUUUCUUCACUGCCAUACAGAUUGUGCAGCAAGAUGGUUCGGCCCUCAUACCAAGAGGCAAAACAAGAAUUUGUUGAUUUGCGACUUCUAGGUGCAUUAUUUAUGACAAUAAAUGCUGGACAUUAUUUAAUUCAUGUGUGUAUACUUGUAUUUCGUUCAGUACUUAGAGGAGGAGGAGCAACAGAGACAGAACCCUCUUGUCCUGCUUUUUGGGGAUGAACUAGACUGCUCUCAGGCGUUUGUUAUUGUGAAAGAUGUGGCAUUAAA
This is a long non-coding RNA of Danio aesculapii, 1057 nucleotides long. RefSeq lists it as uncharacterized. NCBI's taxonomy places the organism in Eukaryota, Metazoa, Chordata, Actinopteri, Cypriniformes, Danionidae. The record is from RefSeq and is a predicted model, not a curated record. The transcript is spliced from 5 exons.